GACGAACGCUGGCGGCGUGCUUAACACAUGCAAGUCGAGCGGUAAGGCCCUUUCGGGGGUACGCGAGCGGCGAACGGGUGAGUAACACGUGGGUGACCUGCCCUCAGCUCUGGGAUAAGCCUGGGAAACCGGGUCUAACACCGGAUAUGACUCCAUGACGCAUGUUGUGGGGUGAAAGCCUUGUGCGGCUGAGGAUGGGCCCGCGGCCUAUCAGCUUGUUGGUGGGGUGAUGGCCUACCAAGGCGACGACGGGUAGCCGGCCUGAGAGGGCGACCGGCCACACUGGGACUGAGACACGGCCCAGACUCCUACGGGAGGCAGCAGUGGGGAAUCUUGCGCAAUGGGCGAAAGCCUGACGCAGCGACGCCGCGUGAGGGAUGACGGCCU
This 387-nucleotide ribosomal RNA is filed under the name uncultured bacterium. RNAcentral's name for it is "bacterial SSU rRNA". It matches the Rfam family "Bacterial small subunit ribosomal RNA", at positions 28 to 417 of the family's 1533-position model. The record is from RNAcentral.